GACGAACGCUGGCGGCGUGCUUAACACAUGCAAGUCGAACGGAAAGGCCCUGCUUUUGUGGGGUGCCCGAGUGGCGAACGGGUGAGUAACACGUGGGUAACCUGCCCUUGACUUUGGGAUAACUUCAGGAAACUGGGGCUAAUACCGGAUAGGAGCUCCUGCUGCAUGGUGGGGGUUGGAAAGUUUCGGCGGUUGGGGAUGGACUCGCGGCUUAUCAGCUUGUUGGUGGGGUAGUGGCUUACCAAGGCUUUGACGGGUAGCCGGCCUGAGAGGGUGACCGGCCACAUUGGGACUGAGAUACGGCCCAGACUCCUACGGGAGGCAGCAGUGGGGAAUAUUGCACAAUGGGCGGAAGCCUGAUGCAGCAACGCCGCGUGCGGGAUGACGGCCUUCGGGUUGUAAACCGCUUUCGCCUGUGACGAAGCGUGAGUGACGGUAAUGGGUAAAGAAGCACCGGCUAACUACGUG
Molecule: ribosomal RNA, 468 nt
Filed under: uncultured bacterium
Lineage: Bacteria
Description: partial 16S ribosomal RNA
Rfam family: Bacterial small subunit ribosomal RNA
Source: RNAcentral